GAUGAAGAGAAAGUUCUAUUCUUGGGACGAAUGUUUGAACUUGAGAGAAGUUAAGUCUCUGAAGAAACUUAAUCAUGCCAAUGUGAUUAAACUGAAAGAUGUUAUCAGAGAAAAUGACCAUCUUUAUUUUAUAUUUGAAUAUAUAAAAGAAAACCUCUAUCAAUUAAUGAAAGACAGAGUGCUGACAACAUCCUAGUGACUUCUGAGCAACCGAGAUGCGAGCUGCGAAGGGUUGAAAGCUUCAUCCUUGGCCCGGACUUGGAGUUGAGGACAGUGGCCCAGGCUGGGCGGGUUGGGGAGACAUGGCCAUCAGGCCCCUGUGCCGUCAUCUCAGCAGCUAGAGAUUGACACCUUGGGAAGUGUACCCACAUGGGAAGAACCGACCCAUCAAUCAAAGACCCACUGAGCACUCUUGGGUGUGAGAACCUGGAUAUAACAUGAAGACCAUGUCUCAGCCUUGUCCUAGAAGAGCGUGUUGGUAAGAAUCUAGAACUGGGACUCUGAUGAAGGGUUGGUGUUAACUAUGGAUCUGUACUUGUUUUUUUUCUUUUCCUUGGUGGCUGGCGUUAGUUAUAAGGUGGCACUCUUACCCAUUGAGCCAACCAGCCACCCCUGGAUGUGUAACUGGAGGAAAAGCUAUCUAUGGAAAUCAAUUGCAACUUGAGUCUGAAACCAGUAGAUUAGUGGAUGAGGGUAAAGAACAGGUGACACAUGAGUUAUUUAACCAGAAAUUCAAGCAGAGACUGAGGUUGGGGCAUAGCAGACAAGCCUCAGAGAGCUGACCCUUAGUGCAAAGGUCCAGACUGGUGAUGGUCAGCUCUAGUAAGGGCAGGCAGGAGGCAACAGGUAACCAUACACAGGAGGUGGGAGUUGAGGGGAGGGAAAUUUAGCCCUUCGGUUCUGGGCCAGGGCAUA
This is a long non-coding RNA of Cynocephalus volans (Philippine flying lemur), 915 nucleotides long. RefSeq lists it as uncharacterized. The transcript is spliced from 3 exons. The record is from RefSeq and is a predicted model, not a curated record. Lineage: Eukaryota; Metazoa; Chordata; Mammalia; Dermoptera; Cynocephalidae.